GGCGACGGGUGCGUAACGCGUGGGAAUCUACCUUAUAGUGGGGGAUAGCCCGAAGAAAUUCGGAUUAAUACCGCAUAAUCUCUACGGAGCAAAGUGGGGGAUCUUCGGACCGUCACGCUAUUAGAUGAGCCCGCGUUGGACUAGCUAGUUGGUGGGGUAAAAGCCCACCAAGGCGACGAUCCAUAGCUGGUUUGAGAGGAUGAUCAGCCACACUGGGACUGAGACACGGCCCAG
Molecule: ribosomal RNA, 234 nt
Filed under: uncultured bacterium
Lineage: Bacteria
Description: partial 16S ribosomal RNA
Rfam family: Bacterial small subunit ribosomal RNA
Source: RNAcentral